CCCUCAGCACUCCCCAUGGGGCUCACUAACCUUGGCUACCUUCAUCGUUUAUGGGAGUUGAGCUGUGCAUGCUUGAGACUGCCAUUUGUUUCUUCUUGCAUUGAAAUAACUUGCUUUUCUCUUUCAGCAACCCUGGGGUUCAACAAUUUGAAACUGCUUCACACCAAGAGCAGAGAAACUCGCUCUGUGGUUAUCACCUCAGAGAGACACAAUACCCAAAACCUGAGAACAUUCGCCUUGUUUUGUUGGAGUCAACACAUCUGCCAGGUUAUCUGUCUUCAGUCAACAUGGCUCAUAGAAAUCCAUGCUGAAUUAUUUUUUAGGAAGUUCGGUUUUGUUGACGAUGGAGUUAAAUGUUAUUCGUGUUAAAGUGAGUCUUUAAGAAGAUGGCCGGCUGUGUUUCUACAUAGUUUUGACAUCUGUCUUCAUUUCUCAUUUUUCCUCUAAGAUGUUCUGCACAUAUUUGUCAAUUUCUGUGGUCUGACUCAGAGCACAGGAAGUGUGGGUACUUCUGCUGGUGUCAAUCAUUGGGACUGGAUUAUGUCUAAGCAUCUUCAACCUCACAGGGAGGAGCUUGACCGGAGAAAGAGGCUGAGAACUGCUUCUCUUACCAAGGACCUUCCCCAAGCCAGGCAUCUCCGGAGAUGGUAUGGAGCCUGGGGUAGCUCGGCCAGGCCUUUGAUCACCAGCGAUGCCAUUGCUCUUCCCCGUUUCGCGUCUGCUGUGGCUUGCUGCUGAGGCUGCUUUCAGACCUCUGGAAUCAGAAAAGGAGGUGACUAUAUCAGGUUGAAUGCCUUGAUGGUCUAGACGUGUGACACUUGCUGCAUUUAUGAGACUGGAGGUGGGGCCCCACCCAAGUUCUGCUUCCAGAGGAGGAGGCAAGACCAAGACACCAAAACAAGGUUCAGCAGAGGACACAUCUGGAACCCCUUUCCUGCUGGAGUGGACAGUGGAGGCAGCGCCACAGUGGAUUUUCAUUGGUGUCUCCCCUGGCUGCCUGGUGGCUGCCUGUCAGAGCCAGCGCUUGAGAACGUGGCUGCUAGUGAAAGUGUUUAUGUGUUUAUGUGACCACAGGAGAACCUUCAGGAGUGAGGCUAACUCAUCUGUGCCACUUAAUGCCGGAGUAACAAAGCCCCCAUCCACUGAGGACGGAGAGAGCAGAUUGUAAGGAGAGAGCAGAUUGUGUGGAGAGGCAGGGGUUUCUGUCACGUAGAAAGCAUCUUGUACAAUGUCUGACACACAGCAAGUGACCAAAAUGUGCCAGGCUGGUCCACCCAGUGCUCUCCAAACACCGUGGUCGCUUGCAUCUGUGGGAUUUUGCUGGUGAUCCUUCCCUAUUUAUCUGAGAUAAAGAAAUUGAAGAACCAUGAAAUUAAGGCACAUUGCCACAUCAUACAGUGGGCAAAUGCUGGAACAAGGUUAGAAUUCCCUUCUGUCUGAAUACUGUUUUAAAAAGUACUCCAA
Molecule: long non-coding RNA, 1464 nt
Filed under: Homo sapiens (human)
Lineage: Eukaryota; Metazoa; Chordata; Mammalia; Primates; Hominidae
Description: HSALNT0353372
Source: RNAcentral